RNAcentral lists this ribosomal RNA (512 nucleotides) under uncultured bacterium. RNAcentral's name for it is "partial 16S ribosomal RNA". It matches the Rfam family "Bacterial small subunit ribosomal RNA", at positions 28 to 523 of the family's 1533-position model. The record is from RNAcentral.
GACGAACGCUGGCGGCGUGCCUAAUACAUGCAAGUCGAGCGGAUGGAAGGAAGCUUGCUUCCUAAAGUCAGCGGCGGACGGGUGAGUAACACGUGGGCAACCUGCCCCUAAGAUCGGGAUAACUUCGGGAAACCGGAGCUAAUACCGGAUAUGAUUAUGUCUCACAUGAGAUGUAAUGGAAAGACGGUUUCGGCUGUCACUUAGGGAUGGGCCCGCGGCGCAUUAGCUAGUUGGUGAGGUAACGGCUCACCAAGGCGACGAUGCGUAGCCGACCUGAGAGGGUGAUCGGCCACACUGGGACUGAGACACGGCCCAGACUCCUACGGGAGGCAGCAGUAGGGAAUCUUCCGCAAUGGACGAAAGUCUGACGGAGCAACGCCGCGUGAGUGAAGAAGGUUUUCGGAUCGUAAAACUCUGUUGUUAGGGAAGAACAAGUACCAUAGUAACUGAUGGUACCUUGACGGUACCUAACCAGAAAGCCACGGCUAACUACGUGCCAGCCGCCGCGGUAA